AACAGCUAUAUUCUAUAAGCUGCUACCAAAGAGAGAAACAUCAUCCUCUCUAGACUGCCGUGGAGUC
Molecule: small RNA, 67 nt
Filed under: Homo sapiens (human)
Lineage: Eukaryota; Metazoa; Chordata; Mammalia; Primates; Hominidae
Description: nc060 non-coding RNA
Source: RNAcentral